CUUUUACACAGAUAGAGGUCUCGCCUGCCCUGUGACUAUAUGUUCAACGGCCGCGGUAUUUUGACCGUGCAAAGGUAGCGCAAUCACUUGUCCUUUAAAUGAGGACCGGUAUGAAUGGCACGACGAGGGCUUAACUGUCUCCUUUUUCAAGUCAAUGAAAUUGAUCUCCCCGUGCAGAAGCGGGGAUUAGAACAUAAGACGAGAAGACCCUAUGGAGCUUUAGACGCAAAGCAGAUCACGUCAAGCACCCUUAAACAAAAGAACAAACUAAAUGAAAGCCUGCCUAGAUGUCUUUGGUUGGGGCGACCGCGGGGCAAUACAAAACCCCCAUGUGGAAUGAAAACAUUCUUUUAAAAAUAAGAGCCACUGCUCUAAUAAACAGAACAUCUGACCAACCAGAUCCGGCCAAGCCGAUCAACGAACCAAGUUACCCUAGGGAUAACAGCGCAAUCCCCUUUUAGAGUCCAUAUCGACAAGGGGGUUUACGACCUCGAUGUUGGAUCAGGACAUCCUAAUGGUGCAGCCGCUAUUAAGGGUUCGUUGUCAACGUUAUC
This 554-nucleotide ribosomal RNA is filed under the name Lagocephalus suezensis. Its description in RNAcentral is "partial large subunit ribosomal RNA". It matches the Rfam family "Bacterial large subunit ribosomal RNA", at positions 1834 to 2591 of the family's 2925-position model. The record is from RNAcentral. Lineage: Eukaryota; Metazoa; Chordata; Actinopteri; Tetraodontiformes; Tetraodontidae.